ACAUGCAAGUCGAACGCGAAAGUCCCCUUCGGGGGAUAAGUAGAGUGGCGCACGGGUGAGUAACACGUAGGUAAUCUACCUUCGGGUGGGGAAUAACCCAGGGAAACUUGGGCUAACACCGCAUAAUGCAGCGGCACCACAUGGUGACAGUUGUUAAAGCGGGGGAUUUUAGGACCUCGCGCCUGAAGAGGAGCCUGCGGCAGAUUAGCUAGUUGGUAAGGUAACGGCUUACCAAGGCGACGAUCUGUAACCGGCCUGAGAGGGCGGUCGGUCACACUGACACUGACAUACGGGCCAGACUCCUACGGGAGGCAGCAGUCGGGAAUUUUGGGCAAUGGGCGAAAGCCUGACCCAGCAACGCCGCGUGAAGGAUGAAAUCCCUCGGGAUGUAAACUUCGCAAGAACGGGAAGAAUAAGUAGGGGACAAUACCCCCUAUGAUGACGGUACCGUUUGUAAGCUCCGGCUAACUCCGUGCCAGCAGCCGCGGUAAUACGGGGGGAGCAAGCGUUGUUCGGAUUUACUGGGCGUAUAGGGCGCGUAGGCGGCCACCGCAAGUCAAUUGUGAAAUCUCCGGGCUUAACUCGGAAAGGUCAACUGAUACUGCGGGGCUAGAGUGCGGAAGGGGCAACUGGAAUUCUCGGUGUAGCGGUGAAAUGCGUAGAUAUCGAGAGGAACACCUGCGGCGAAGGCGGGUUGCUGGGCCGACACUGACGCUGA
This 718-nucleotide ribosomal RNA is filed under the name uncultured soil bacterium. RNAcentral's name for it is "bacterial SSU rRNA". It matches the Rfam family "Bacterial small subunit ribosomal RNA", at positions 53 to 749 of the family's 1533-position model. The record is from RNAcentral.